UGGGAAAUGUCAAAACUACUACACCCUAUUCAGACCAUUCUUUAGAAGAUCGGAUUUAGCUAUUUCCUGAUCAAUAACAAUAGAGAUACUUGGAAUAACAGAAUCAGGUCUUGGAAACUACAAUCUCCAUCCUACUCAGUUUAACAAGGUAGGAAGGGCUGCAACAAACUCAAGAUUUAAUUAUUUGAGAAUGGCCUUCAACAGACAUGUGCAAAAAAAGGACAGACCUCUGGGCAGUCCUAGUUCAAGCUAGAGCCACCAUUGGCACAUGUGAGAUGCAGGAAGUGAGGUAGAGAACAGCCUCUGGAGUUCUCGGGACUUCCUGUGAGGAGGGCUAGAGUCAGUUGGAGGCUGGUGCUUGGAGUUGGAGGAGCCCCACCGACUGCUUUCCUUCAGAUUGGUCAUCAAAGACACUGGAAUAGUAAGCAAAAGUGAGAUGACUUGCCCAGGGUCACACAGCAAGUAAGUGCAUAAGAGUCAGAUUUACCAAACAACAUGGCCUCUCAGAAGACCCCAUCCUUGCUGGAUCUAACCAACAAAUUCCAGAUGUUGAAGAAAACUUGUGCUCACAAUGGGAAUAUGAGAAUGUGGGGUGAAGAAUUCUUAGACCACAAAUUUGCAAUCCUGAAGCCUGUCCCUGUCACCAUCAUCUUGGCUAAUAACACCUAAAGAGGCAUGUUCACAAACAGCAGCCUCCACUGAUCAACUUCUGUCUAUGCUGAGAAAAGCUCCAAAGACCUGAGAAUAUUAUUUCUGCCUCUAGUGCUCCAAGUCACCACCAGCCAAACACCAAGUAACUCUUAUCAAGAUCAGACCUGACAAUUGUGACUGCAGAUGGUGCAACUCCUUCAGCAGUCAUUGCUACUAGGGACUCAGGAAAGAAAGUUCUGGUUACCAAACUUAUUGGUAUUUUCAAGUGAUUUGACUUUACAAAGAGAUAUGGUUUUAUAAAAAAGAAAUGAGUUAAAAUGAGAUAGCCACAUUACUCCUUGUUUUGUUACCACACCCUAAAGACUAAUGGACCUUUUCAAUAUGAUUUAUAGCUGAAACUUCCA
This 1055-nucleotide long non-coding RNA is filed under the name Monodelphis domestica (gray short-tailed opossum). RNAcentral's name for it is "lncRNA (ENSMODG00000032658.2)". Lineage: Eukaryota; Metazoa; Chordata; Mammalia; Didelphimorphia; Didelphidae. The record is from RNAcentral.